RNAcentral lists this long non-coding RNA (1152 nucleotides) under Cyanistes caeruleus (blue tit). RNAcentral's name for it is "lncRNA (ENSCCEG00000001838.1)". Lineage: Eukaryota; Metazoa; Chordata; Aves; Passeriformes; Paridae. The record is from RNAcentral.
GAUUUUGGGUGAAUUUUGGGGGAAUUUUGGGACAUUCUGGGUUGGAUUUUGGGUUGGAUUUUGGGAGAUUUUGGGGGGAAUUUUGGGUUGGAUUUUGGGGGAAUUUUGGGUGAAUUUUAGGGUGAAUUUGGGGUGAAUUUUGGGAGAUUUUGGGUUGGAUUUUGGGUGGAUUUUGGGAUAUUCUGGGGUGAAUUUUGGGGUGGAUUUCGGGUGAAUUUUGGGAGAUUUUUGGGACAUUCUGGGUUGGAUUUUGGGUGAAUUUUGGGGUAUUUUUAGGGAGAAUUUUGGGUGAAUUUUGGGAUAUUCUCGGUUGAAUUUUGGGGUGAAUUUGGGGUGAAUUUUGGGAUAUUUUGGGUUGGAUUUCGGGUGAAUUUUGGGAGAUUUUUGGGUGAAUUUUCGGGUGAAUUUUGGGAGAUUUUGGGGUGGAUUUUGGGUGGAUUUUGGGUGGAUUUUGGGUGAAUUUUAGGGUGAAUUUGGGGUGAAUUUUGGGAGAUUUUGGGUUGGAUUUUGGGUGAAUUUUGGGGAGGAUUUUGGGUUGGAUUUUGGGUGGAUUUUGGGAUAUUCUGGGGUGAAUUUUGGGCUGGAUUUUGGGUGAAUUUUGGGAGAUUUUUGGGACAUUCUGGGGUGGAUUUUGGGUGGAUUUUGGGUGGAUUUCGGGUGAAUUUUGGGGUAUUUUUAGGGAGAAUUUUGGGUGAAUUUUGGGAUAUUCUGGGUUGGAUUUUGGGUGGAUUUCGGGUGAAUUUUGGGAGAUUUUUGGGUGAAUUUUGGGUGAAUUUUGGGAUAUUCUGGGUUGGAUUUUGGGGUGAAUUUUGGGAUAUUCUGGGUUGGAUUUUGGGUGAAUUUUGGGUGAAUUUUGGGAUAUUUUGGGUUGGAUUUUGGGUGAAUUUUGGGAUAUUUUGGGGAGGAUUUUGGGUGGAUUUUGGGAGAUUUUGGGACACUUUGGGGUGUCCCCGCAGGCGCCUGGCGGGCGGUGCUGGAGCGGGUGCAGGAGGCUCGAGCCAACGCCCACCUGAGACACCUGAGCUUCGCAGGCAUGAGCGGGCUGAGGCUGCUGGGGAUCCACCACGACGCCGUGGUUUUCCUGCUGGAGCAGCUGCCGGGGGCCGGGAACUGCUCCCGGUACCGGUACCGGUACCACCCCCCCCGCCGGGA